GGGGCUGUAGCUCAGUGGAUAGAGCAGCGGUUUCCUAAACCGCGUGCCGGAGGUUCAAUUCCCCCCAGCCCCACCA
RNAcentral lists this transfer RNA (76 nucleotides) under Candidatus Coatesiibacteriota bacterium. Its description in RNAcentral is "Candidatus Coatesbacteria bacterium tRNA-Arg". It matches the Rfam family "tRNA". From Rfam's summary of the family: Transfer RNA (tRNA) molecules are approximately 80 nucleotides in length. Their secondary structure includes four short double-helical elements and three loops (D, anti-codon, and T loops). Further hydrogen bonds mediate the characteristic L-shaped molecular structure. tRNAs have two regions of fundamental functional importance: the anti-codon, which is responsible for specific mRNA codon recognition, and the 3' end, to which the tRNAs corresponding amino acid is attached (by aminoacyl-tRNA synthetases). tRNAs cope with the degeneracy of the genetic code in two manners: having more than one tRNA (with a specific anti-codon) for a particular amino acid; and 'wobble' base-pairing, i.e. permitting non-standard base-pairing at the 3rd anti-codon position. Lineage: Bacteria; Candidatus Coatesiibacteriota. The record is from RNAcentral.